ACUGCUCAGUAACACGUGGAUAACCUGCCCUUGGGUCCGGCAUAACCCCGGGAAACUGGGGAUAAUUCCGGAUAACGCAUAUGUGCUGGAAUGCUUUAUGCGUCAAAUGGAUUCGUCUGCCCAAGGAUGGGUCUGCGGCCUAUCAGGUAGUAGUGGGUGUAAUGUACCUACUAGCCGACAACGGGUACGGGUUGUGAGAGCAAGAGCCCGGAGAUGGAUUCUGAGACAUGAAUCCAGGCCCUACGGGGCGCAGCAGGCGCGAAAACUUUACAAUGCGGGAAACCGUGAUAAGGGGACACCGAGUGCCAGCAUCAUAUGCUGGCUGUCCGGGUGUGUAAAAUACACCUGUUAGCAAGGGCCGGGCAAGACCGGUGCCAGCCGCCGCGGUAACACCGGCGGCCCGAGUGGUGAUCGUGAUUAUUGGGUCUAAAGGGUCCGUAGCCGGUUUGGUCAGUCCUCCGGGAAAUCUGAUAGCUCAACUAUUAGGCUUUCGGGGGAUACUGCCAGGCUUGGAACCGGGAGAGGUAAGAGGUACUACAGGGGUAGGAGUGAAAUCUUGUAAUCCCUGUGGGACCACCUGUGGCGAAGGCGUCUUACCAGAACGGGUUCGACGGUGAGGGACGAAAGCUGGGGGCACGAACCGGAUUAGAUACCCGGGUAGUCCCAGCCGUAAACGAUGCUCGCUAGGUGUCAGGCAUGGCGCGACCGUGUCUGGUGCCGCAGGGAAGCCGUGAAGCGAGCCACCUGGGAAGUACGGCCGCAAGGCUGAAACUUAAAGGAAUUGGCGGGGGAGCAC
This 796-nucleotide ribosomal RNA is filed under the name uncultured archaeon. RNAcentral's name for it is "bacterial SSU rRNA". It matches the Rfam family "Archaeal small subunit ribosomal RNA", at positions 85 to 879 of the family's 1478-position model. The record is from RNAcentral.